This 556-nucleotide long non-coding RNA is filed under the name Elaeis guineensis (African oil palm). Its description in RNAcentral is "long non-coding RNA (EGUI_LNC011559)". The record is from RNAcentral. Lineage: Eukaryota; Viridiplantae; Streptophyta; Magnoliopsida; Arecales; Arecaceae.
AAAGAAUAUGGAUAAUAAAUUUUUGAGUCAUUGUUCAAUGUAUAAAAAAAUAUAUAUAAAUUAUUUUUUUAUCUAAAUAUUAUUUAAAAAAUAUUUAUUCAAAAAAAUAUAAAUUUUUUAAUAAAUUUUUUACCUACAAAAAAAAAGUCUUAAAAGAAGAUGAAGAUCACCGGGCUUAACCCUCUUCUUUUAUUCCAACAAACAAUGUCUCCAUUCACAAGACUGCUAUUCCCAUGAUGGUAUGACUCUCAGGGCCCGACCAUAAAUUACUGCCUAGGGGUCACGCAAAUGGAUCAAGGCAAGAUGGGUUUGCAGGCUGUCAAGUAAUAGAAGCAAGGAAAAAUAGUUGAAACCACAUAAUUCCAUAACGUGGAUCCUCUCUAACCAUACUGGUUCUAAUGCUUCGACCAUGCCCCGAUAAUACAUCAUGUGUGACCAACUGGAUAUUAUAUUGCAAGUGUUUCAUUAAUAAUAUUUGUUGCUGCUAACCUCUAGGAUGAGAUUGAGGUCGGUUGAGCCAAAUUGAAUUGAAGUUGGUGGAGUGGUCACGGCCCCA